GACGAACGCUGGCGGCGUGCUUAACACAUGCAAGUCGAGCGGUAAGGCCCUUUCGGGGGUACACGAGCGGCGAACGGGUGAGUAACACGUGGGUGACCUGCCCUCAGCUCUGGGAUAAGCCUGGGAAACCGGGUCUAAUACUGGAUAUGACUCCAUGACGCAUGUUGUGGGGUGGAAAGCCUUGUGCGGCUGAGGAUGGGCCCGCGGCCUAUCAGCUUGUUGGUGGGAUGAUGGCCUACCAAGGCGACGACGGGUAGCCGGCCUGAGAGGGCGACCGGCCACACUGGGACUGAGACACGGCCCAGACUCCUACGGGAGGCAGCAGUGGGGAAUCUUGCGCAAUGGGCGAAAGCCUGACGCAGCGACGCCGCGUGAGGGAUGACGGCCUGG
Molecule: ribosomal RNA, 390 nt
Filed under: uncultured bacterium
Lineage: Bacteria
Description: bacterial SSU rRNA
Rfam family: Bacterial small subunit ribosomal RNA
Source: RNAcentral